RNAcentral lists this ribosomal RNA (440 nucleotides) under uncultured bacterium. Its description in RNAcentral is "partial 16S ribosomal RNA". It matches the Rfam family "Bacterial small subunit ribosomal RNA", at positions 338 to 795 of the family's 1533-position model. The record is from RNAcentral.
CCUACGGGAGGCUGCAGUGGGGAAUAUUGCACAAUGGGGGAAACCCUGAUGCAGCGACGCCGCGUGAGUGAAGAAGUCAUUCGUUAUGUAAAGCUCUAUCUGCAGGGAAGUAAAUGACGGUACCUGAGUAAGUAUCCCCGUCUAACUACGUGCCAGCAGCCGCGGUAAUACGUCGGGGGCAGGCGUUAUCCGGAUUUACUGGGUGUUAAGGGAGCGUAGUCGGCAGUGCAAGUCUGGAGUGAAAGGCGGGGGCUCAACCCCCGGAUUGCACGGGAAACUGGAGGGCUGGAGUGCAGGGGAGGUAAGUGGAAUUCCUGGUGUAGCGGUGAAAUGCGUAGAUAUUAGGAGGAACACCAGUGGCGAAGGCGGCUUACUGGACUGUAACUGACGUUGAGGCUCGAAAGCGUGGGGAGCAAACAGGAUCAGAUACCCCGGUAGUC